Long non-coding RNA from Peromyscus leucopus (white-footed mouse), 350 nucleotides. RefSeq lists it as uncharacterized. The transcript has 2 exons. Lineage: Eukaryota; Metazoa; Chordata; Mammalia; Rodentia; Cricetidae. The record is from RefSeq and is a predicted model, not a curated record.
GGUGUGAGCCACCUGAUGUCAGUGUUGGGAACCAAACUCAGGUUCUCUGGGAGAGCAACAAGCACUCUUAAUUGCUGGCCUCAGAUUGCCAGGCUUGGCAAGAAGCACCUAUACUCACUGAGCCAUCUCUUCAGCCCAGCCAUGGUUAUUUUUAAAUUUCAUAUUACACUCUCAGUAAUUCUCACUUUUUACAAAAUUAUAUAUCAUAGUUGGCAGCCAAUGGAUGAUAUGAAAGGAUAGAAAAUCUUUUUGAGCUGAGUAGUGGUGGAGUACCACCUUUAGAUAAAUUUGUUGCAAUUCUGUGGGUUUGGUCGGUUUUGGCACCAACAAUAUAAGUAUUGUAACUCUGG